This 74-nucleotide transfer RNA is filed under the name Clostridiaceae bacterium TF01-6. RNAcentral describes it as "tRNA-Ser". It matches the Rfam family "tRNA". Rfam says of the family: Transfer RNA (tRNA) molecules are approximately 80 nucleotides in length. Their secondary structure includes four short double-helical elements and three loops (D, anti-codon, and T loops). The record is from RNAcentral. Lineage: Bacteria; Bacillati; Bacillota; Clostridia; Eubacteriales; Clostridiaceae. RNAcentral also lists the same sequence under 2 other names.
CGCGGAGUAGAGCAGUCUGGAAGCUCGUCGGGUUCGAUUCCUGAAGGUCACUGGUUCAAAUCCAGUCUCCGCAA